Molecule: long non-coding RNA, 579 nt
Organism: Hypanus sabinus (Atlantic stingray)
Lineage: Eukaryota; Metazoa; Chordata; Chondrichthyes; Myliobatiformes; Dasyatidae
Exons: 3
Source: RefSeq, a predicted model, not a curated record
GCCUCGUCAGCCGAGUUGAUAUACGGCGCACCCCUGGCCGUCCCAGGAGAGUUCAUACCAGCCCCAAGGGGGCAAGAGGAAGAACCCCCAGCAGUCCUGGACAGGUUACGCGAGAGGCUCGGCAACCUGGCCCCCGUACCAACUUCAAAGCAUGGACGAACCCGACCCAUGUACCCAAAGACCUGCAGAACUGUAAGUUUGUGUUUGUACGAAGGGGCGGACACUGGGCACUGCUACAGCGGCCGUUCAAGGCAUUUACAAGAAAAAAAGAAAUACUAUAGACUUCUACAAAAAAACAUAAAACAGACAAAAAACUGACAAAUGCAAAUGUGCAAAAGAAGAGAAAAUAUGCAAAUGAAAAUAAAACCAAGAACACGAGUUGUAAAGAGUCCUUCAAGGUAUUUCAGAAGCUGAAUGAAGAGCCAAUGAAAUGGCAUCUGCUGAUGACUUGUCGUGAUAGUAGGUAAAUUGAAUUGGUUCCAGGAUAUUCCUUGCUUUUCAAGGGGGACAGAAUUAGGAACAAGGGAAUGGAUUUUGUGGCUGGAACAAAAUAAAAUUGCUUUUGUCUUUAAUGGCUGG